Long non-coding RNA from Lolium perenne, 1097 nucleotides. RefSeq lists it as uncharacterized. NCBI's taxonomy places the organism in Eukaryota, Viridiplantae, Streptophyta, Magnoliopsida, Poales, Poaceae. The record is from RefSeq and is a predicted model, not a curated record.
GGACUCAUGGACGGCAAGUACGACGAGCUUGGCGAGCGGGAAGAAGGAGGUGGCGGAGGGGAGGAGCAUGGCUGGACGUCAGUUGCCCCCGCUGCCACCACAGGCCUGCUCUGCUAGAUUUCAAUCGUGGCCCUCUUCCCCUGUGAUUUACUCUUUGAUGGGUAGGUGCAUCCCAGACUUUCCCUACAAAUAAGGUGGGACGAAAUCCAACCAUGAGGCCAAGAUUUUCUUUUUCGAGAAUGAUGAGGCCAAGAUUUAGAACAGAAAAAGAUAAACAUAAACAAUCAGGGGAAAGUAGGGCUUGCAGUUGGAAAUUGUGCCUGCGAGGGUGCUAGGAGGUCAUGGGAAGCACGCCAGCAAUGCUGUCAGUCGAAUGUCCAAGCAAGCAUUGAUGCCAUCUGUGUCUGCAUAUUGCGGGGGACAACUUGCACCUCAGGCCCUCAGCUGCGUCCCACAAGCCGUCUAACGUCCUAAUUUACGGUGAGAAGGAAAACCUAUAAAAGAUUGUUUGUUUGUCUAUAUAGAAGCUAACUGAAACUUAGAGAUUUUCUUGGUAUUUGUGUUGAGUUGGGUGUGGCAUUUUGGGUCCAUUCUGAUCAUGUACCCUCUUAAAAAAAUUAAUCAUUUCACUGUAGUUGUUGACUCUGCUGUCCUACCAAGCUUUCUACAAGUGAAAUUUUAUUCUAAUUAGUUAGUUGAUUACAAAUUAAUGGGCUGCAGUCGACCAUCCAAGUAUUUUUAGAGAUGCUUUGCUUUUUCCAAUUAUAUUUGAACAAUUUUCCACCGAAGAGGUAGGUUGUGAAAUGGCAACCCUCUUAGCUAUGGAGAUGUAACAUAACUUGUGAUAUUAGAUUAUAUUCUGCCAAACGUUGGUUGCACAGGUAUAACCAUUAAACAUGCAGCAAAUUAACUGUUUUUGAAAUGUACUUGAACAAAAGAGGAAGCAAGUUUUGGGUCAUGUCCACUGCAAAGUGUUCAGCACUUAAGUUCCAUUGCAUUUUGCUGUACCAAGCGGAGGCGAUUAGCACUUAGCACAUAGAACAGUUGGCAUCAUGAAUUGCUCACUCAGCCUAUCUGUUUGUGCUUUUUCUUCAGGU